GUGCCAGCCGCCGCGGUAAUACGUAGGGUGCGAGCGUUAAUCGGAAUUACUGGGCGUAAAGCGUGCGCAGGCGGUUUGAAAAGUCAGAUGUGAAAUCCCCGGGCUCAACCUGGGAACUGCGUUUGAAACUCUCAAACUAGAGUAUGGCAGAGGGGGGUAGAAUUCCACGUGUAGCAGUGAAAUGCGUAGAGAUGUGGAGGAAUACCAAUGGCGAAGGCAGCCCCCUGGGUCAAUACUGACGCUCAUGCACGAAAGCGUGGGGAGCAAACAGGAUUAGAUACCCGAGUAGUCC
This 292-nucleotide ribosomal RNA is filed under the name uncultured bacterium. RNAcentral describes it as "partial 16S ribosomal RNA". It matches the Rfam family "Bacterial small subunit ribosomal RNA", at positions 505 to 796 of the family's 1533-position model. The record is from RNAcentral.